GCACCCCUAGCUCAAUUGGAUAGAGCAUCGGUCUACGGAACCGAAGGUUACAGGUUCGAGCCCUGUGGGGUGUACCU
This 77-nucleotide transfer RNA is filed under the name Planctomycetota bacterium. RNAcentral describes it as "Planctomycetes bacterium (freshwater metagenome) tRNA-Arg". It matches the Rfam family "tRNA". Rfam says of the family: Transfer RNA (tRNA) molecules are approximately 80 nucleotides in length. Their secondary structure includes four short double-helical elements and three loops (D, anti-codon, and T loops). Lineage: Bacteria; Pseudomonadati; Planctomycetota. The record is from RNAcentral.